RNAcentral lists this ribosomal RNA (507 nucleotides) under Diplommatina plecta. RNAcentral describes it as "partial 16S ribosomal RNA". It matches the Rfam family "Bacterial large subunit ribosomal RNA", at positions 1819 to 2597 of the family's 2925-position model. The record is from RNAcentral. Lineage: Eukaryota; Metazoa; Mollusca; Gastropoda; Architaenioglossa; Diplommatinidae.
GUCUCUUUGAUUAGAUAAAGAGUUUAAUCUGCCCGGUGAUAUAAGUUUAACGGCUGCGGUAUCCUGACCGUGCGAAGGUAGCAUAAUAAUCUGUCUUAUAAUUGGAGAAUGGUAUGAAUGAUUUGACUAGGGUAAAACUGUCUCGUAUAUAUUAAUUAAAAGUUGACUAUUAAGUUAAAAGGCUUAAAUAAAAUUAAGGGACGAGAAGACCCUAUUGUGCUUGUAUAGAUGAAUUAAAUGAUGAAUAUAUUAAAAAAAUAAAGUUGUAUUAAUUACAGAAUUUUAGUUGGGGCGACUUAGGAACAAUAAAAACUUCUUAAAAUAAUAUUAAUGAUGAUUUUUGAUCCAGAGUAUUUUGAAUUAAGAGUAAGUUACCGUAGGGAUAACAGCGUUAUUUCUUUAGAGAGUUCUAAUCGAAAAAGAAGUUUGCGACCUCGAUGUUGGAUUAAGGGUAGGUGUUGGUUGCAGGUGCUUUCAAAACUUAGUCUGUUCGACUAUUAAAACCUU